Molecule: long non-coding RNA, 2201 nt
Filed under: Rhopalosiphum maidis (corn leaf aphid)
Lineage: Eukaryota; Metazoa; Arthropoda; Insecta; Hemiptera; Aphididae
Description: uncharacterized LOC113557206, transcript variant X2
Source: RNAcentral
GUGUGCCUACACUAUCAUCACAUAUUAUCUGUACUAUCAUUAUCAAGUGGUAGGAUGUGAUGAUUGAUAACAAACAGUUUCAGUCAUGGGUUUCAGAUUCAAGCGUUUCAGGUCUGACGUGUGAAAUUGUUGGUAAAUAUAACAAAUAAUAUACAGGUCAAUUUGCUACUGACUAGCUUGUAGUUGGUAGUCAUCAAGGUCCAGUUUGAUAUCCGGAUAAUAAUAAUCUAGCAGUUCUGAAGAAAGUAUGAUAAAAAGGUUUAGAACAUUUCAGAUGGUGAAGUUUUACAGAACCAAUAAUUAAGUAAUAAUCUGGAAAAUUGGUGAUUAUUAAACAUUUGCCAUUAUUGAUAUUUUAUCCAGGUACAGAUUUUAGCGCUUUCUGGAUUUGUUAUGGAACUCAAUUAUUGACUACAUUUUAAGAUAAAAAUUUGUGUAUUAAGUAACACAAUUAUAAAGUUUAUCCAAGAGAACAAGAGCGUAAUUGAGGGGCAUGAAGAGGGAAUUCACUCCCUCAUCGCUGUAAUUUUUUCUAUAUAAUACAUUAAUUAAUAAUUUAUUUAAAAAAUUUUCCGUUUGAUAAAAAUCAUAAAUCUUAAUGAUAUCAAACUAAACAUAAUAAGAAUUUUAUGCCUAUUUAGGUAAUCAACUGUAAAUUAUUUUUAGUUUGUAUAGAAGAAAAAUUAAUUCCCCCUCUCCCCAUGGUCACAACUCAAAUACGCCCUUGCAGAAAAAACUAAAUUAAUAAACUUAAAAACAAAAUUAUGAGAGAAAAUAUUCAUUGAUAUUCAAAAUAAAUCAUGUAGUAAUUUUCAAAAUGUUUAUAUUUAAUCUAAGCUAUUGCCUAUUUAUAUGCUAUAUUAAUAUAUUCACGUUGUUUUAUGCUGUCUGAAUUGACUUAACUGAAGAAUUAAUAAUAAUAACAAUAUACGGUACAAAUAUUAUGUACUUAAAUGAUAAAUAGACAUUAACUAUUUGAUAAAUUCAAUGUAUUCCUAAUAAUUUAGGCUGAUGAGUGAUGAACUUGCUUCACAUUAAGCGCAUAACCAGAUAGCCGUCGAUUUUGCAUUUAGUUCAUUACACGCAGUCAGUUUCUGAUUGGUUUUCCAAAUUCCCAUCCACCGUCUACUAUGCCGUGCAGCACAGUUAGUUGAUUAUGAUGAUUUUAAAGUUGAAAAAAUGUUGGUUCAGAAUUUGGAUUAAGAACAAUUAUACCAGUAUCAUCUGAAAAAGUGUGAAGAGGUAUGGUGCCGUUGAGUGGGAUAUCUAAAGUAUAAAUGCUAUACAUGCAAGGAUAUUUUUAGAAAUUCCAUCAUUAAUAGGAUUUUAUUUAAAUGAGGGUCACUACAUAAUACUUAAAAGAUUGAUUGAUUAGAUAAUAAUGUGCAGACAAAAUCUUAGUGAGUAUAUUAGACCACUGUGCUUGAUACAAUCAUAUUAUUUUUUAUUUGAAUAGAAUAGAAUCUUUUAAGAACGAUUUUUUUCAAUAUUUUGGAUAAUGUUGGAAGUAAUUGCAUAGAUAUAGAGAAAUAUAAUGUAGAAGAUUUGUUUGAUUUUGAUUUUGAAAUUGAAAUUAUGUUUGAUUUCUUCCAGAAUAAGGGAAAAUACAAGUCUCAGAGUAAUGUUAUAAAAUUGUGUUAAAAUUAAUAUUGCUUUUUUGGAAGGGUUCUUAUCAUAUUAUUAUCCCCAGAUGCUUUUUUAUAAUUUCAUAAGGGUUGGGAGAAAAAAAUAUCGGAAAAUAAUGGUUUAUCAAGUGUCAUCGUGGCCUUAUAUGCCUUCAUGGCUUGAUAAUGUUAUGUAUUGGUGUGUAGUCAGAAGUUUUUUCUAGAUAUAAAUUUCUAAGAUUAGUUUUUUUUUUGUUUGGAGAUAGCAAGAAAAUUAUCUAUAUUUCCUAAUGUGAGAAUAGUUUUACAAUAGACUAAAAUUCUAAAGAGUAUUAGGUAGUUUAUUAAAUAUUUUUUUUUCACUUGGCAUUCUUGUUCUUUGUCAAUAAUGUUGUUUUUGUUUAAAGCAUUUUUAAUACUUAAUAGAUAUGAUGAGAAUGUUUUUUUUCUUAAUGGCUAGGGUAGAUUCUAGAAAUAAAUAAUGCAGCAUUUUCAAUUAUUUCUAUGAAUGAAUUACAUUAUUAAUUUCAACGUUAGAUUUUAGUGAUUAGAAAUCUUUUAGUAAUUUGUUUAAAUAAAUUCAUGUUAGAAUAUUAU